UACGAAGGGGGCUAGCGUUAUUCGGAAUUAUUGGGCGUAAAGGGCGCGUAGGCGGCUAGAUGUGUCAAAGGUGAAAUCCCUCGGCUCAACUGAGGAACUGCCUUUGAAACUGUCUGGCUUGAGGCCGGGAGAGGGUAGCGGAAUUCCAGGUGUAGCGGUGAAAUGCGUAGAUAUCUGGAGGAAUACCGGUGGCGAAGGCGGCAUCCUGGACCGGCAUUGACGCUGAGGAGCGAAAGCUAGGGGAGCAAACGGG
Molecule: ribosomal RNA, 253 nt
Filed under: uncultured bacterium
Lineage: Bacteria
Description: partial 16S ribosomal RNA
Rfam family: Bacterial small subunit ribosomal RNA
Source: RNAcentral